Molecule: long non-coding RNA, 677 nt
Filed under: Homo sapiens (human)
Lineage: Eukaryota; Metazoa; Chordata; Mammalia; Primates; Hominidae
Description: non-protein coding lnc-PTGS2-1:1
Source: RNAcentral
AACCGUGGUCAAAGGAAAUCACCAAGCACAUGAAUAAAACACAGGACUACAGUUCACCAAAGUACAUUUUUAUUUUCAAAUACUUCUCCACAGUCUGCAAGAAAAGCUUAUGCUCAACUAAGUGAUAAACUUAUUCCUAAAAUAAUUAACCUAUUUGGUGAACAGUCAUGAGCCCCUUCUGCAUUGGAAGCUAUUUACUCUAAAGGAGCUGUUCCAUGCAGAUUGGCACAUCAUUCAGUAAAACACAGAUUACAGUGGGACUGUCUCCAGAAAAUCUUGCAUUGGAGGCUCUUCUUAGUUAUUUUAGCUGAAGAUGUAAGAGAUAAACAUCCAUAUACCUUUGUGCCAAAGGAAGGUUUUAGCGAAUUACUUUUGUUCAAAUGUCGUCCUGAAAAAAACUGCUGUGCCUUUGCUGCCUAGACUGAUUUCUGUGAUAAAAUAAUUGCUGGUCCAUUCAGAUGAUGAAGGUUUGAAAGAGGAUUGAACGUAAUGGUACACCUAAGUGUCAUUGGUUAGUCCUUCUCUAAAUGAUCACCUGAAAUUACUGCUUACAAGUCCUUCCAAGAAACUAAUGGAUAAUAAAUUCAAAGAGCCAGUUGCUAGUGAAUUACAAAAGCUGGAGCAGCAUGAUGGAAAUGGAAGUGCCGUCAUCAUCAAAUCUAAAAUUCCAACAUAUU